Molecule: ribosomal RNA, 776 nt
Filed under: uncultured Neocallimastigales
Lineage: Eukaryota; Fungi; Neocallimastigomycota; Neocallimastigomycetes; Neocallimastigales
Description: partial large subunit ribosomal RNA
Rfam family: Eukaryotic large subunit ribosomal RNA
Source: RNAcentral
GUACACGCUGUGACUAGCAUAUCAAUAAGCGGAGGAAAAGAAACUAACAAGGAUUCCCCUAGUAACGGCGAGUGAAGCGGGAAGAGCUCAAAUUUGAAAUCUUAAAGGGUUUCCCUUUACGAAUUGUAGUUUAAAGAAGUGUUUUCUGUUGAGGUUUUGGUAAAAGUUCUUUGGAAUAGGACAUCAUAGAGGGUGAGAAUCCCGUAUUUGACCUUUACUUUCAACCUUGUGAUACACUUUCAAAGAGUCGGAUUGUUUGGGAAUGCAGUCCAAAAUGGGUGGUAAAUUUCAUCUAAAGCUAAAUAUUGGCGAGAGACCGAUAGCGUACAAGUACCGUGAGGGAAAGAUGAAAAGAACUUUGAAAAGAGAGUUAAACAGUACGUGAAAUUGUCAAAAGGGAAGCGUUUGACACCAGUGUUGUUUUUCUGAAAAUCAAUUAAAGAACUGUUUAUGCUAAGCUGUUUAGACUUUAUCAGCUAAUCUGUUUAGUUUUGAGCUUUUCUUUAAUGCACUUUUCAGUUAACAAGUCAGCAUCAAUUUCCUUUUGCUGUAAAAAAGCUUGAGGAAGGUGGCUUGAGAUUCGUCUUAAGUGUUUAUAGCCUCUUGCCUAUGCAGUCGGAGAGAUUGAGGUCUGCAGCGUAGAUCCUUCGGGGCUAAAUGCAUUUGUGCUAAGUUAUAGCAUUUUAUAGACGACUUGUUGACUAUGAUUUGUCUUGUAGCUUACUCGCUUAUGUUAUUUUACCUACGCUUAGGAUGUUGAAGAUGUAGCACAUCAU